GGAAAAUGACAUGGUAUGAUAUGAUGCCAUGAGGGAUCUUAGGGACAAAAUUGGGGUCUUACAGUUUCCUAAAUUCUAAGUCCAAUAAUCUCAGAUCAAACCAACAGUCCACACAAAAUGAUUUUUAGGUUUUUCUUUUGUUAUUAUGUACAUUAGUGUCAAAAGACCACACAAUCAAUCAAGUGUAUACAAACACAAUAUAUCACAAAAUAUGGUCCAAGUGGACAAAGUGAAAAUGACAUAAG
RNAcentral lists this long non-coding RNA (245 nucleotides) under Lathyrus oleraceus (garden pea). RNAcentral describes it as "Pisum sativum (pea) long non-coding RNA (PSAT_LNC031479)". The record is from RNAcentral. Lineage: Eukaryota; Viridiplantae; Streptophyta; Magnoliopsida; Fabales; Fabaceae.